CAGGUAAGUAGUGUAAUUUCUGCACAAUUGAUUUUCAUUCAAUUAGAAUAUAAAGAUAUCUAUCUGA
Molecule: transfer RNA, 67 nt
Filed under: Plaxiphora albida
Lineage: Eukaryota; Metazoa; Mollusca; Polyplacophora; Chitonida; Mopaliidae
Description: tRNA-Glu
Source: RNAcentral